AUUCAACUGACGUGUCUCAAAUAGAACGAAACACGCAUCUUAGAU
RNAcentral lists this non-coding RNA (45 nucleotides) under Schistosoma mansoni. The record is from RNAcentral. Lineage: Eukaryota; Metazoa; Platyhelminthes; Trematoda; Strigeidida; Schistosomatidae.